This 30-nucleotide non-coding RNA is filed under the name Mus musculus (house mouse). Lineage: Eukaryota; Metazoa; Chordata; Mammalia; Rodentia; Muridae. The record is from RNAcentral.
UGGGUGCAAUCUUUCGUGUCCUGGUCCUUA